RNAcentral lists this ribosomal RNA (384 nucleotides) under uncultured bacterium. RNAcentral's name for it is "bacterial SSU rRNA". It matches the Rfam family "Bacterial small subunit ribosomal RNA", at positions 28 to 412 of the family's 1533-position model. The record is from RNAcentral.
GACGAACGCUGGCGGCGUGCUUAACACAUGCAAGUCGAGCGGUAAGGCCCUUUCGGGGGUACACGAGCGGCGAACGGGUGAGUAACACGUGGGUGACCUGCCCUCAGCUCUGGGAUAAGCCUGGGAAACCGGGUCUAAUACCGGAUAUGACCUCAUGACGCAUGUUGUGGGGUGGAAAGCCUUGUGCGGCUGAGGAUGGGCCCGCGGCCUAUCAGCUUGUUGGUGGGGUGAUGGCCUACCAAGGCGACGACGGGUAGCCGGCCUGAGAGGGCGACCGGCCACACCGGGGACUGAGACACGGCCCAGACUCCUACGGGAGGCAGCAGUGGGGAAUCUUGCGCAAUGGGCGAAAGCCUGACGCAGCGACGCCGCGUGAGGGAUGAC